UGUGACUGGUGUUCAGACUUGUGCCCCUGGGAGGGUUUCGGAUUCCAGAAACCAAUUAUAAUAACCCUGCCUCUUCUAGAAGUAGUAACGAAUAUGUAUUAGCCUAGGAGCAUAAAAACCAGCCGCCUUACGUAACAGGUGUGCGUCUUGGUGGAGCAGAGACUCCUGGAGCACCCAGCGCUGUUUGCUUGCCUCUAUUCGUUUAAUAAAUUGUAAAC
This is a long non-coding RNA of Cygnus olor (mute swan), 218 nucleotides long. RefSeq lists it as uncharacterized. The record is from RefSeq and is a predicted model, not a curated record. NCBI's taxonomy places the organism in Eukaryota, Metazoa, Chordata, Aves, Anseriformes, Anatidae. The transcript is spliced from 3 exons.